RNAcentral lists this ribosomal RNA (253 nucleotides) under uncultured bacterium. RNAcentral describes it as "partial 16S ribosomal RNA". It matches the Rfam family "Bacterial small subunit ribosomal RNA", at positions 524 to 776 of the family's 1533-position model. The record is from RNAcentral.
UACGGAGGGUGCAAGCGUUGUCCGGAUUUAUUGGGUUUAAAGGGUGCGUAGGCGGAUAUUUAAGUCAGUGGUGAAAGCCCACAGCUCAACUGUGGAACUGCCAUUGAAACUGGAUAUCUUGAGUAUUGUUGAGGUAGGCGGAAUUUAUGGUGUAGCGGUGAAAUGCAUAGAUACCAUAAAGAACACCGAUAGCGAAGGCAGCUUACUUAGCAAUAACUGACGCUGAUGCACGAAAGCGUGGGGAGCGAACAGG